This 638-nucleotide ribosomal RNA is filed under the name uncultured bacterium. RNAcentral's name for it is "bacterial SSU rRNA". It matches the Rfam family "Bacterial small subunit ribosomal RNA", at positions 861 to 1501 of the family's 1533-position model. The record is from RNAcentral.
UAAGCAUUCCGCCUGGGGAGUACGGUCGCAAGAUUAAAACUCAAAGGAAUAGACGGGGACCCGCACAAGUGGUGGAGCAUGUGGUUUAAUUCGAAGAUACACGAAGAACCUUACCUGGCCUUGACAUGGUAGGAACCCUUAAGAGAUUAGGGGGUGCUAGCUUGCUAGAACCUACACACAGGUGCUGCACGGCUGUCGUCAGCUCGUGUCGUGAGAUGUUGGGUUAAGUCCCGCAACGAGCGCAACCCUCGUCGUUAGUUGCUAACAGUUCGGCUGAGCACUCUAACGAGACUGCCUUCGUAAGGAGGAGGAAGGUGAGGACGACGUCAAGUCAUCAUGGCCCUUACGGCCAGGGCUACACACGUGCUACAAUGGGGCGUACAAAGAGCUGCAAUACCGCGAGGUGGAGCCAAUCUCUUAAAGCGUCUCUCAGUUCGGAUUGUUCUCUGCAACUCGAGAACAUGAAGCUGGAAUCACUAGUAAUCGUAGAUCAGCUAUGCUACGGUGAAUACGUUCCCGGGUCUUGUACUCACCGCCCGUCACACCAUGGGAGUUGAUUUCACCCGAAAUCGGGAUGCCAAACUGGCUACCGCUUACGGUGGAAUUAGCGACUGGGGUGAAGUCGUAACAAGGUAUCC